RNAcentral lists this long non-coding RNA (999 nucleotides) under Equus caballus (horse). RNAcentral's name for it is "lncRNA (ENSECAG00000049507.1)". Lineage: Eukaryota; Metazoa; Chordata; Mammalia; Perissodactyla; Equidae. The record is from RNAcentral.
GUGGACAUCUGACAAUAGACGGAAGCGGAGAGAGAGAAUGCUCUGCUGCCGGCUUUGAAGAUGGAGGAAGGAGCCGGAACAAAGGUGGGCGAAGAGUGUGGCUCCAGCUGGUGCCGAGGCAAGGAGACCACUGCGCCCCUCCAGUCUCCCGGGGAGCCCUGCCCUGCUCACACCUCCAUGUGGGCCCCUUAUGACUCUUUUCAGAUUUAUGACCGCCAGUGCUGUCAGAGAACAAGUUUCUGUUGCUUCAAGUCACUACGUUUGUGAUAAUUUGUUACAGCCACAAAAGGAAAUUAAUCAAGAGGAUAAGUCACUCGCCUAUGACAACUUCCCAGGUUACCAGCUAACCUUUGAGGACACCAGCUGCUUCUCGUCAGGAAGCACCGGGAGCCACUCCCCUCUUCCCGACUCCAGACUCCAGACUGGGGGACCGGCUCUCCCUUCUUCCCACGUCUCCUGGACCAAGCGGCUCUGCAUCCACCCAGGAAGGAGGUUGGGAACUAAGUGGCCUAGAACCUUGCCAGGGUCUCACUGUGUGACCUCGGAGCCUUGAGGUUUCUUGCAAGAACCUGAGGGGCGUCUCCGGAGUCCAAGAAUACCGGCGGGACCGACGGAGUCUGCUCAGCCCAGCCUAAGGAGGAAGUUCCACUUUCAUCUGUUCAGUUCUGGGCUCAAGAGGGAGCCGUUUGGAGGAAGAGUUCGGUGGCGAGAACUGGUGGAGUAGAUGGAGGCGGCCAGCACAGCCAGCCUGGAGAUGCCGAGGCCGCCCCCGAACCUCUGCCCACGCUGCCGUGCCCACCGGACGUCAUUCGCACUCCUCCAGGAAAGUGGUCCUCGAUCUUCUCCCAACAGCCCUCCCACCUCCAGCCCUGAGUCCAGUUCUUGAAUUCUGUGUGUGUGUGUGUGUGUGUGACAGCUCCACACUCAGGGCUACUGGCCAUCCUUCCAGACAACUCAGAUUUCCCUAAAUUGUGCACCUCAACCAAAUAAAACAGCCAG